RNAcentral lists this ribosomal RNA (253 nucleotides) under uncultured bacterium. Its description in RNAcentral is "partial 16S ribosomal RNA". It matches the Rfam family "Bacterial small subunit ribosomal RNA", at positions 524 to 776 of the family's 1533-position model. RNAcentral also lists the same sequence under 1 other name. The record is from RNAcentral.
UACGAAGGGGGCUAGCGUUGCUCGGAAUCACUGGGCGUAAAGCGCACGUAGGCGGAUCGUUAAGUCAGGGGUGAAAUCCUGGAGCUCAACUCCAGAACUGCCCUUGAUACUGGCGAUCUCGAGUUCGAGAGAGGUUGGUGGAACUCCGAGUGUAGAGGUGAAAUUCGUAGAUAUUCGGAAGAACACCAGUGGCGAAGGCGGCCAACUGGCUCGAUACUGACGCUGAGGUGCGAAAGCGUGGGGAGCAAACAGG